Molecule: ribosomal RNA, 388 nt
Filed under: uncultured bacterium
Lineage: Bacteria
Description: partial 16S ribosomal RNA
Rfam family: Bacterial small subunit ribosomal RNA
Source: RNAcentral
CCUACGGGGGGCAGCAGUGAGGAAUAUUGGUCAAUGGCCGUAAGUCUGAACCAGCCAAGUAGCGUGAGGGAUGACUGCCCUAUGGGUUGUAAACCGCUUUUAUGCGGGGAUAAAGUGGUCCACGUGUGGAUGUUUGCAGGUACCGCAUGAAUAAGGACCGGCUAAUUCCGUGCCAGCAGCCGCGGUAAUACGGAAGGUCCGGGCGUUAUCCGGAUUUAUUGGGUUUAAAGGGAGCGUAGGCCGGUCUUUAAGCGUGCCGUGAAAUUUUGUGGCUCAACCGUGGAAUUGCGGUGCAAACUGGAGACCUUGAGUGCGCGGAGGGCAGGCGGAAUUCGUGGUGUAGCGGUGAAAUGCUUAGAUAUCACGAAGAACCCCGAUUGCGAAGGCA